RNAcentral lists this ribosomal RNA (417 nucleotides) under uncultured Gammaproteobacteria bacterium. RNAcentral's name for it is "bacterial SSU rRNA". It matches the Rfam family "Bacterial small subunit ribosomal RNA", at positions 370 to 779 of the family's 1533-position model. Lineage: Bacteria; Pseudomonadati; Pseudomonadota; Gammaproteobacteria. The record is from RNAcentral.
AAUGGGCGCAAGCCUGAUGCAGCCAUGCCGCGUGUAUGAAGAAGGCCUUCGGGUUGUAAAGUACUUUCAGCAGUGAGGAAGGUUUCGUAGUUAAUAACUGCGUUGCUUGACGUUAGCUGCAGAAGAAGCACCGGCUAACUCCGUGCCAGCAGCCGCGGUAAUACGGAGGGUGCGAGCGUUAAUCGGAAUUACUGGGCGUAAAGCGCAUGCAGGUGGUUCGUUAAGUCAGAUGUGAAAGCCCGGGGCUCAACCUCGGAAUUGCAUUUGAAACUGGCGGACUAGAGUACUGUAGAGGGGGGUAGAAUUUCAGGUGUAGCGGUGAAAUGCGUAGAGAUCUGAAGGAAUACCAGUGGCGAAGGCGGCCCCCUGGACAGAUACUGACACUCAGAUGCGAAAGCGUGGGGAGCAAACAGGAUU